Molecule: ribosomal RNA, 554 nt
Filed under: Trichormus variabilis BAC 9804
Lineage: Bacteria; Bacillati; Cyanobacteriota; Cyanophyceae; Nostocales; Nostocaceae
Description: bacterial SSU rRNA
Rfam family: Bacterial small subunit ribosomal RNA
Source: RNAcentral
GGUCGGGGACACCACUGGAAACGGUGGCUAAUACCGGAUGUGCCGAAAGGUGAAAGAUUUAUUGCCUAGAGAUGAGCUCGCGUCUGAUUAGCUAGUUGGUGUGGUAAGAGCGCACCAAGGCGACGAUCAGUAGCUGGUCUGAGAGGAUGAUCAGCCACACUGGGACUGAGACACGGCCCAGACUCCUACGGGAGGCAGCAGUGGGGAAUUUUCCGCAAUGGGCGAAAGCCUGACGGAGCAAUACCGCGUGAGGGAGGAAGGCUCUUGGGUUGUAAACCUCUUUUCUCAGGGAAUAAGAAAGUGAAGGUACCUGAGGAAUAAGCAUCGGCUAACUCCGUGCCAGCAGCCGCGGUAAUACGGAGGAUGCAAGCGUUAUCCGGAAUGAUUGGGCGUAAAGCGUCCGCAGGUGGCACUGUAAGUCUGCUGUUAAAGAGCAAGGCUCAACCUUGUAAAGGCAGUGGAAACUACAGAGCUAGAGUACGUUCGGGGCAGAGGGAAUUCCUGGUGUAACGGUGAAAUGCGUAGAGAUCAGGAAGAACACCGGUGGCGAAAGC